GUGGGUAGUUUGACUGGGGCGGUCUCCUCCUAAAGAGUAACGGAGGAGCACGAAGGUUGGCUAAUCCUGGUCGGACAUCAGGAGGUUAGUGCAAUGGCAUAAGCCAGCUUGACUGCGAGCGUGACGGCGCGAGCAGGUGCGAAAGCAGGUCAUAGUGAUCCGGUGGUUCUGAAUGGAAGGGCCAUCGCUCAACGGAUAAAAGGUACUCCGGGGAUAACAGGCUGAUACCGCCCAAGAGUUCAUAUCGACGGCGGUGUUUGGCACCUCGAUGUCGGCUCAUCACAUCCUGGGGCUGAAGUAGGUCCCAAGGGUAUGGCUGUUCGCCAUUUAAAGUGGUACGCGAGCUGGGUUUAGAACGUCGUGAGACAGUUCGGUCCCUAUCUGCCGUGGGCGCUGGAGAACUGAGGGGGGCUGCUCCUAGUACGAGAGGACCGGAGUGGACGCAUCACUGGUGUUCGGGUUGUCAUGCCAAUGGCACUGCCCGGUAGCUAAAUGCGGAAGAGAUAAGUGCUGAAAGCAUCUAAGCACGAAACUUGCCCCGAGAUGAGUUCUCCCUGAGACUUUAGGUCUCCUGAAGG
RNAcentral lists this ribosomal RNA (578 nucleotides) under Salmonella enterica subsp. enterica serovar Muenchen. RNAcentral describes it as "partial 23S ribosomal RNA". It matches the Rfam family "Bacterial large subunit ribosomal RNA", at positions 2261 to 2844 of the family's 2925-position model. The record is from RNAcentral. RNAcentral also lists the same sequence under 4 other names. Lineage: Bacteria; Pseudomonadati; Pseudomonadota; Gammaproteobacteria; Enterobacterales; Enterobacteriaceae.